GAUGAAGAACGCAGCGAAAUGCGAUAAGUAGUGUGAAUUGCAGAAUUCAGUGAAUCAUCGAAUCUUUGAACGCACAUUGCGCCCCUUGGUAUUCCAUGGGGCAUGCCUGUUCGAGCGUCAUUUCAACCAUCAAGCCCUGCUUGUGUUGGGGUCCUGCGGCUGCCCGCAGGCCCUGAAAACCAGUGGCGGGCUCGCUAGUCACACCGAGCGCAGUAGCACAUCUCGCUCAGGGCGUGCGGCGGGCUCCAGCCGUUAAAGCACCCACCUUUCGCAAGGUUGACCUCGGAUCAGGUAGGAAUACCCGCUGAACUUAAGCAUAUCAAUAAGCGGAGGA
This 334-nucleotide unclassified non-coding RNA is filed under the name soil metagenome. RNAcentral describes it as "partial contains 5.8S ribosomal RNA, internal transcribed spacer 2, and large subunit ribosomal RNA". The stretch from base 1 to 120 matches the Rfam family "5.8S ribosomal RNA", at positions 35 to 154 of the family's 154-position model. The record is from RNAcentral.